CGGUCGUCGGGACGGCGACGGUCAUGAUGCGUCAUCCGAGGCUCUCGCGUGGGCGGGGUUCGGCGACACGAAAGGACUUGAGCUCGUCGAUGCGAUCGGCGAGACCGGCAUAGACGCCCUUGUCAUGUUUCACUUGCGCGGUUCCCCCGACGACGUCGACCGCGCGCUGGAGGCUGCAGACUUCGAUGAUCCGCCGACAC
RNAcentral lists this unclassified non-coding RNA (200 nucleotides) under uncultured fungus. Its description in RNAcentral is "sequence contains ITS1". Lineage: Eukaryota; Fungi. The record is from RNAcentral.